RNAcentral lists this long non-coding RNA (501 nucleotides) under Daucus carota (carrot). RNAcentral describes it as "long non-coding RNA (DCAR_LNC001305)". The record is from RNAcentral. Lineage: Eukaryota; Viridiplantae; Streptophyta; Magnoliopsida; Apiales; Apiaceae.
UCUGGAUCGUCUUUGUAUGCAAAAAAGGGAUAUGCAUUAAUAAGAAAUGGCGAAUUGGUCUGCGAAUGAAAUGCAAGAAUUGGCUGCAUAUAUUGAGCAAGAUCUUCACGGAAGGUCCCUGAGGAUGGCGGGAAGGAAUUACCCAAGAUUUGAAAUGAAUGAGCUGUUGUUACUAAUACCUUUUUGUUCAGGCCAAGAUUACCAAGUGCCUUAUACACUGAUUGCAUGGCAGGUGCAAGGUAAGAUUUCAACUGAUUGUCCUCUCCUGAUAACACCUCAUUCCCGACGAAAAUGCAAGAAAUCGUCGUCUGGCUAAGGUGUGGUUGAACAUUUUCUUGAAUCCAAUUUUGGGCUUUCACAGGGUCACCCAUAGCUUGAAGGUCUUGAUUCCCAAGUCCAAUAAUGAAUUCAACAUUCGAAUUCGAAAAAGCAGACAACACCUUUGGGUCAGCAUCAUAAAGCUUCACUCUACUUAUGUUGAGAGACUUAAGCAGAGAGGAA